Molecule: transfer RNA, 74 nt
Filed under: Liparis tessellatus (cubed snailfish)
Lineage: Eukaryota; Metazoa; Chordata; Actinopteri; Perciformes; Liparidae
Description: tRNA-Trp
Rfam family: tRNA
About the family: Transfer RNA (tRNA) molecules are approximately 80 nucleotides in length. Their secondary structure includes four short double-helical elements and three loops (D, anti-codon, and T loops).
Source: RNAcentral
AGGGACUUAGGAUAGCACGCAUAGACCAAAAGCCUUCAAAGCUUUAAGCGGGAGUGAAAAUCUCCCAGUCCCUG